UUCAAGCUGCAGGGCAAGGAGUUUGAAGUGCCUUAAUGGACUCAUAUGGUGAAUAUCUUGGAGAAAGCACACUGUCAGAAAGUGUUUUUGUCUUAUCUUAUUCUGACGCAGUUUUGAGAUGUUAGAUUUCCUGUGCUCUUAAUUUGGCGAUCUAGUCUGAGACGUCAUUUCCUGGUUGUAGCGUUUCUGCGUAAUAUGGGCUCUUGUGUAAACAGCAUUGUGUGCGUUCCUGACUAAAAUACCCCACACACACCUAUACUACAAUUGUUCAACUUCAUCAUUAAAGAGUGCCUGAAAGCCUCUCUGUGCCCUACUCUCUGACCGGAGUCCUUGUCCUAAGAAGAUAUCAGACCAGCAUUCCGCAUCCAGAGUAACCUACUCUAUCACACACACCAUCACUUGAAGUAAAUAGUAGUAUUUCAGUUUGAGCACAUCAUUAAAUAGUUAGUUUGACAUUUGCAUGUAGACUGGAGUAGUUCAGGCAAUAAGAUGGGAUGUUGCUAUGUGACAGGAAGGAGGAAUAUAAAACUGCUUCGGCUUCUCCAAGUUAGGAGUGCCACUUGUUGGACUUGACCUCCUCCAGGAACUGCAGUUCUGUAUGACCACGCUCGCUUGUAAUAAAGCAACUUUUUGUUCA
This is a non-coding RNA of Nerophis lumbriciformis (worm pipefish), 637 nucleotides long. NCBI's taxonomy places the organism in Eukaryota, Metazoa, Chordata, Actinopteri, Syngnathiformes, Syngnathidae. The record is from RefSeq and is a predicted model, not a curated record.